Molecule: ribosomal RNA, 497 nt
Filed under: uncultured bacterium
Lineage: Bacteria
Description: partial 16S ribosomal RNA
Rfam family: Bacterial small subunit ribosomal RNA
Source: RNAcentral
GAUGAACGCUGGCGGCGUGCCUAAUACAUGCAAGUCGAGCGAACGGACGAGAAGCUUGCUUCUUUGAUGUUAGCCGCGGACGGGUGAGUAACAUGUGUAUAACCUACCUAUAAGACUGGGAUCACUUCGGGAAACCGGAGCUAAUACCGGAUAAUCUUUUGAACCGCAUGGUUCAAAAGUAAAAGACGGUCUUGCUGUCACUUCUAGAUGGUUCCGAGCUGCAUUAGCUAGUUGGUAAGGUAACGGCUUACCAAGGCAACGAUGCAUAGACGACGUGAUAGGGUGAUAGGCCACAUGGGAGGGUGGACGGGGACCAUAGGACUGCGGGAGGCAGCAGAAGGGAAUCGGCCGCAGGAGGGGGAAGUCUUGCGGAGCAGGGCCGAGUGAGUGAUGGAGGUCUUCGGUGCGUAAAACUGUGUUAUGAGGGAAGAACAGAUGUGGAAGGAGCUGUGCAGAGCUUGACGGUACCGAAUCAGAAAGCCACGGCUAACUACGUG